This 600-nucleotide ribosomal RNA is filed under the name uncultured bacterium. RNAcentral describes it as "bacterial SSU rRNA". It matches the Rfam family "Bacterial small subunit ribosomal RNA", at positions 102 to 726 of the family's 1533-position model. The record is from RNAcentral.
ACGGGUGCGGAACACGUGUGCACUGCUUUAUCUGGGGGAUAGCCUUUCGAAAGGAAGAUUAAUACCCCAUAAUAUGUUGAAUGGCAUCAUUCGACAUUGAAAACUCCGGUGGAUAGAGAUGGGCACGCGCAAGAUUAGAUAGUUGGUGAGGUAACGGCUCACCAAGUCUACGAUCUUUAGGGGGCCUGAGAGGGUGAUCCCCCACACUGGUACUGAGACACGGACCAGACUCCUACGGGAGGCAGCAGUGAGGAAUAUUGGACAAUGGGUGAGAGCCUGAUCCAGCCAUCCCGCGUGAAGGACGACUGCCCUAUGGGUUGUAAACUUCUUUUGUAUAGGGAUAAACCUACCCUCGUGAGGGUAGCUGAAGGUACUAUACGAAUAAGCACCGGUAACUCCGUGCCACAGCGGGUAAUACGGAGGUGCACGUAUCCGGAUUUGGGUUUAAAGGGUCCGUAGGCGGAUCUGUAAGUCAGUGGGUGAAAUCUCACAGGUUUUAAUUGUGAAACUGGCCAUUGAUAACUGGCAGGUCCUGGAGUGUGGUGAAAGUANCUGGGGAAUAAAGUUAGUGAGCGGGGAACAUGGCUUAAGAUAUUCAGU